RNAcentral lists this ribosomal RNA (253 nucleotides) under uncultured bacterium. Its description in RNAcentral is "partial 16S ribosomal RNA". It matches the Rfam family "Bacterial small subunit ribosomal RNA", at positions 524 to 776 of the family's 1533-position model. The record is from RNAcentral.
UACGAAGGGGGCUAGCGUUGUUCGGAAUUACUGGGCGUAAAGCGCACGUAGGCGGGUUGUUAAGUCAGGGGUGAAAUCCUGGAGCUCAACUCCAGAACUGCCUUUGAUACUGAGGAUCUUGAGUCCGGGAGAGGUGAGUGGAACUGCGAGUGUAGAGGUGAAAUUCGUAGAUAUUCGCAAGAACACCAGUGGCGAAGGCGGCUCACUGGCCCGGUACUGACGCUGAGGCACGAAAGCGUGGGGAGCAAACCGG